UGGCGGUAAAUUCCGUCCAAGGCUAAAUAUGGGCGAGAGACCGAUAGCAAACAAGUACCGUGAGGGAAAGAUGAAAAGGACUUUGAAAAGAGAGUCAAAGAGUGCUUGAAAUUGUCAGGAGGGAAGCGAAUGGGGGMMGGCGAUGCGCCUCGGUCGGAUGUGGAACGGUUAAAGCCRGUCUGCCAAUCGGCUCGGGGYGUGGAUCGGUGCGGAUUAGGACGGAGGCCAAAGCCCAAGAAGUCGUUAAGCCUGCGGAGACRCCUUYGCCCCGAUCGUGGUUGGCAGCAUGCGCCUUCUCGGCAUGCUUCGGCAUCUGCGCACUCCCGGCACCGGCCAGCGGGCUCUCCAUUCGGCCCGUCUUGAAACACGGACCAAGGAGUCUGACAUGUGUGCGAGUCAACGGGUNAGUAAACCCGCAAGGCGCAAGGAAGCUAACGGGCGGGAUCCCCUCGUGGGUUGCACCGCCGACCGACCUUGAUCUUCUGAGAANGGUUCGAAUGCGAANAUGCCUGUCGGGACCCGAAAGAUGGUGAACUAUGCCUGAG
RNAcentral lists this ribosomal RNA (545 nucleotides) under Arbutus menziesii (Pacific madrone). RNAcentral describes it as "eukaryotic LSU rRNA". It matches the Rfam family "Eukaryotic large subunit ribosomal RNA", at positions 294 to 841 of the family's 3401-position model. The record is from RNAcentral. Lineage: Eukaryota; Viridiplantae; Streptophyta; Magnoliopsida; Ericales; Ericaceae.